This 396-nucleotide ribosomal RNA is filed under the name uncultured bacterium. RNAcentral describes it as "bacterial SSU rRNA". It matches the Rfam family "Bacterial small subunit ribosomal RNA", at positions 28 to 429 of the family's 1533-position model. The record is from RNAcentral.
GACGAACGCUGGCGGCGUGCUUAACACAUGCAAGUCGAGCGGUAAGGCCCUUUCGGGGGUACACGAGCGGCGAACGGGUGAGUAACACGUGGGUGACCUGCCCUCAGCUCUGGGAUAAGCCCGGGAAACUGGGUCUAAUACCGGAUAUGACUCCAUGACGCAUGUUGUGGGGUGGAAAGCCUUGUGCGGCUGAGGAUGGGCCCGCGGCCUAUCAGCUUGUUGGUGGGGUGAUGGCCACCAAGGCGACGACGGGUAGCCGGCCUGAGAGGGCGACCGGCCACACUGGGACUGAGAUACGGCCCAGACUCCUACGGGAGGCAGCAGUGGGGAAUCUUGCGCAAUGGGCGAAAGCCUGACGCAGCGACGCCGCGUGAGGGAUGACGGCCUCGGUGUAAC